GGGGAUUUAGCUCAAUGGUAGAGCGCUUGCCUAGCAAGCAUAAGGCCCUGGGUUCGGUCCUCAGCUCCA
RNAcentral lists this transfer RNA (69 nucleotides) under Rattus norvegicus (Norway rat). It matches the Rfam family "tRNA". From Rfam's summary of the family: Transfer RNA (tRNA) molecules are approximately 80 nucleotides in length. Their secondary structure includes four short double-helical elements and three loops (D, anti-codon, and T loops). Lineage: Eukaryota; Metazoa; Chordata; Mammalia; Rodentia; Muridae. The record is from Rfam by way of RNAcentral.